This 495-nucleotide ribosomal RNA is filed under the name uncultured bacterium. Its description in RNAcentral is "partial 16S ribosomal RNA". It matches the Rfam family "Bacterial small subunit ribosomal RNA", at positions 28 to 505 of the family's 1533-position model. The record is from RNAcentral.
GACGAACGCUGGCGGCGUGCCUAAUACAUGCAAGUUGAGCGCUGAAGGUUGGUACUUGUACCGACUGGAUGAGCAGCGCACGGGUGAGUAACGCGUGGGGAAUCUGCCUUUGAGCGGGGGACAACAUUUGGAAACGAAUGCUAAUACCGCAUAAAAACUUUAAACACAAGUUUUAAGUUUGAAAGAUGCAAUUGCAUCACUCAAAGAUGAUCCCGCGUUGUAUUAGCUAGUUGGUGAGGUAAAGGCUCACCAAGGCGAUGAUACAUAGCCGACCUGAGAGGGUGAUCGGCCACAUUGGGACUGAGACACGGCCCAAACUCCUACGGGAGGCAGCAGUAGGGAAUCUUCGGCAAUGGACGAAAGUCUGACCGAGCAACGCCGCGUGAGUGAAGAAGGUUUUCGGAUCGUAAAACUCUGUUGGUAGAGAAGAACGUUGGUGAGAGUGGAAAGCUCAUCAAGUGACGGUAACUACCCAGAAAGGGACGGCUAACUACG